RNAcentral lists this long non-coding RNA (22127 nucleotides) under Lynx pardinus (Iberian lynx). Lineage: Eukaryota; Metazoa; Chordata; Mammalia; Carnivora; Felidae. The record is from RNAcentral.
AGGAACAAAAGUAUAUUGUGCAAAUAAAUGAGCUGGAGGGAGAGUUCCAGAAAAAAGCCAAAGAAAUUGGCAUGAUUCAGACAGAGCUGAAAACAAUAAAACAAUUCCAGAAGAGAAAAAUCCAAGUGGAGAAAGAAUUAGAUGACGUAAGUUUCUUUCUUUCUUUAAACAUAGGAGAUUAGAGGGGCACCUGGGUGGCUUAGUCACUCAAGCAUCUGCCUUUUGGUUUUGGCUCAGGUCAUGAUCUCACGACUUUGUGGGUUCGAGCCCCACAUGGGGCUCUGUGCUAGCAGUGAGGGGCCUGCUUGGGAUUCUUUCUCUUUCUCUCUCUCUCUCUCUGUCUCCUCUCUGUCCCUUCCUCACUCGUGCUUUCUCUCUCUUAAAAUAAAUAAAUAAAUAAAUAAAUAAAUAAAUACUUUAAAAAAAGGAGAUUAGGAUUAACUACAAGCAUAAUUCAGAGAUAUUGCAGGUUUGGUUCCAGAGUGCCACAAUAAAGUGAAUGUCACAAUACUACACUUUUUUUUUUUUUUGGUCUUUUUAAGUAGGCUCCUUGCCCAACAUGAGGCUUGAACUCACAACUCUGAGAUUGAGAGUCCUAUGCUCUACUGACUGAGCCAGCCAGGUGCCCCUCACAAUACUAUACUUAUGUGUGCAAAAGCCUUCAUAGACAUUUACUCCUGUGAGAUGGUAAAGGACUCCCUUUGGCAUUUUAGAGAUUAUUUGAGAGAAAGUAGAAGACAUCAUGAGUGUAGCACUGGGUGCAAAAAAAGUCUUGGUUAGACUUUUCUAAGCAUUGAUUUCUUUGUAACUUCACCAAAUCUCAGCCAACACACCUGCUUUUAUCAGUAAUUAAACCUUUGGAGUCACUUCAAUAAGAAACACACUACAGUUCUUGGAAAACAGUAGGGGAAAACAAAGUAGAAAGUCCCAAAGGAAACUAGGUUGAGACUGAUGAGUGAUAAUUUUAGAACAUUUUAGAAGGUUCUCUGGGUAGGGGUAGGUGGGGUGAGGAAAACCGUACUUUCAGAAAGUUUCUCUGACUUCGCUAUGCUUUUUCUCUUUCCAUUCCCUCAGCUCGGAAUAUAGUUUUAUUGCAUUAAUAAUAAUGUAGUAAAUGGCACAGAUGAGUGUUGGGCAUAGUAGCAGAAAUCAGCUUUGUGACUUUGGGCAAGUUACUUAACCUCUCUAUACCUUGAUUUCCUGAUCUGUAAAAUGAGGAUAGUAUGAGUUCAUCAUAGGCUCAUAGGGUUGUUGUAAGGAUUAAAUGAGUUCAUAUAGUUACAGUGCUUAAAAUAGCAUUAUGUCAUAUAAGGGACAAUUAUAUUUACACUAGUAUGUAGCGCUCUGCAAACAGAAGUCCUGAUUUGUAGCAUUUGCUGGUUUCCUUGGUAUAAAUACUCUUAUUAUGGCCAAUUUCAAGCUACCAACACCUUACACAUGCUAACGACAUUCCUGGUGUGAGUCUGCUCCAAUGUGCAAUUAAAUACUGCUGCUGUUAUUAGUAAUAGCAGUAGCAUUACCGCUUAAGAUAACCAUAUUUCAUAUAGUGGAGGGGUUGAAAGUUGGUGCUCUAAAGUCACACUGCUAGAGUAUAAAUACUGUUUUCACUACUUGAAUAUUAUCUUGUUAAGCUUCUUCAUCUAAGCCAUGGAGCUGGGAAUAAUGGUACCAACUUUAAAGGGUCAUUGUGAAGACUAAAUGAAAUCAUCUGUUUUAACUGCUUAGCACUGGGUGGUAAAUAUUACCUGCUGUUGCUGUUUCUGCUGCUAGUAUUACUACUGCUAAAAUUAUGAUUAUAGAAAUUAGUAUUAUUUAAAUAUUAUUUAGUAUUAUUUAAGGCCCUUCCACCAUCCCUUUUGGCGCCUCUCAUUCUUGGUCAUGGUGUUCUCCAAGCAUGCAAUGUCUCUCAAGCAGUCUUUGGGCUCCCCAGAACCCUAUUGAGCAAGAACAAGGUCUGAUGGGAAACCAAAGUUCCUGCAUCCUAUUUCUGUUUACCUCCCAGCUAACUGCCAAAUUGCAAGGGUGUAUGAGAAAUGAAUAAGUCAGACAAGAUACUGUAGUGGUUGAAAUCAGGGACUUCAUGUCCUGGCUGUGCAGCUGAUAGCUAUGUGGCCCUUGGAUAGUCUGUUAACUUCUCUGAGUCUCAGAUUCUUCAUUUGUAAAAUGUGGCUAUAAUAUCAGGUGUCUCCUCUUAGAGAUGUUGUGUCGAUUAAAUAAAGUAAUGUGUGUAAAAUAUUUAGCAUAUUUAUUCCUACUAGUCUCCAGUAAGAGGAGUAACAUCAUAAUUGUUGAUAUUUACUUGUUAUGAUUAUAUAGCUUUAAAAAUCGUAAUAGAGUACUCUUAAAAGCUCUAAUUAAAGGAAUGAGUUGGCACAUUUUAGGCAAAGUGGGAAAGUCUAAGACACUUUCUUAAAUUGGAGGAAUGUAUAGGAAAGUGUUUUAACUCUUUCUGUCAUAAUUGCAAAGUUAUCUCCCAACCUCCCUGCCUGGCUGACUUUGUGAACUUGAUUGCCUGUUGCUUUACAACUGUCGUUCUGUUACUUUAAAAUUGUUCUUAAUUUCAGUGGCUCAUCUUUAUACAAGCUCCUGUGCAGUAUUUUCUGAGGAACUCUCUCCUUCUAUGUGUUUCCAGACCUUUAAAGUCCUUAAGGGGAACCAGCGUGGCUCAGUCCGUUAAACAUCUGAUUUGAUCUUAGAUCCAUGCGUUGGGCUCCGUGCUGACAGCAAGGAGCCUGCUUGGGUUUCUCUCUUUCCCUCUCUCUUUGCCCCUCUCCCACCUGGUCUCUUUCUCUCUUUCUCAGAACAAAACAAAACACAACAAAAACAACAACAAUAACAAACCACAUUAAAGUCCUUAAAAUAGCAGUUAUAUAACUGUCUUCUCUAGUUAUUUUAUGUUUGUAUUGUUCAUUAGUUUUGUAAACUGAGGAGAAUAAAAGGAGCCAGAUCCUCUACUUGUGAAUGUCUUUGUCACUCCUCACUAGUCGCUAGACUGGUACUUACUAAUAAAAUUUGCUAAGUGAGUGAUAUAAGACAACCAUCUAAAAUGAAAUCCUUUCAUGGAAUUCAUAGAAUCUUAGAGCUGAAAGAAACUUUAGGGCCAAUUUAAGCCAUUCUAUAGAUAAGCAAAACUGAGACACAAAGAUGUUAAGUGACUUUCAUGGUAACUUGUAGAGCUGGUAGCAGAACCCUGUUGAUCUGAAUCCCUGCCCAGUACUUCUAGUCGUGCGCUCUCUAUUUCUUCACCUGCAUUAGUUACCUAUUAUUGAAGAAAAAUUACCCUCAAAUCUAGCAGCUUAAAACUACACUAAACAUUUGUUAAAAACAUAAUUCCCGUGGGUCAAGAAUUUGGGAGCAGUUUGGGGCACCUGGCUGGCUCCAUAGAGCAUGUGACUCUUGAUUUCAGGGUCAUGAGUUCAAGCCGCACGUUGGGUGUGGAGCCUACUUAAAAAAAAAAAAAAAAGAAUUUGGGAGCAGGUUAACUGGGAAAUUCUGGCUCAGGGUCUUCCAUGAAGUUACAGUCUAGGUAUCAGCUAGGGCUGCAGUCAUCUGGAGGCUUGAUUAGAGCUUCAGGAUCUGUUUCCGGGUGCCAACUAACAUACUGUCAAGUUGGGACUAGUAAUUACUGGGAGGCCUCAGCAUCUUCCCACAUGGGCCUUUCAAUGACUUUACCCAAAGUGAAUAAUCCCAAAGAAAGCCAGACAGAAGCUAUCCCUUUCUUGACUUAGGCUUGGAAAUUGUACAGCAUUACUUCUGUCAUAUUCUAUUAGUUAGGAGUGAAUCCCUAACUCUGGCCCACAUUCUACGGAUGGAGAAUUAGGUUCCAUCAUUUGAAGGGAGGACCAUCAAAGAAGUUGUGGAUGUAUUUUAAAACCACCACAUCAUCACAGUCCAAAGUAUGCACCAAUACGGAAAUGUUCUGAUUAACUCCCUGAAGAAUCUUCUUUAGUAUUUCUCUUUUGUAAACCCAGUAUUGUCCAGAUGCCUUGAUGUGAAAGUCAAGACCCAACACCUAUUUUGAAACAUUAUUUUCUCCUUUUACUUCCUCAUGCACACCCCCUUUAAUUCAUCCAAACUGGAUAUUUACUCAUCCCUGAAGUCUUUUUGCCAUAUUUUUUAAAGUUCAUUUUUGUUUAUUUUGAGAGAGAGAGUGAGCAAAUGGUGGAGGGGCAGAGAGAGAGGGAGAGAAAGAAUCCCAAGCAGGCUCUGUGUUGUCAGCACAGAGCACAAUGUGGGGCUCGAUCUCACAAUCCAUGAGAUCAUGACCUAAGCGGAAAUCAGGAAUUGAACGCUUAAUGGACUGAACCAGGCACCCCCUUUCUGCCAUUUUUUUCGUAGUUCAAACUGUUUCUUCUAUCCAGAAUAUACUCCCAAUAGAUCUCUAUCCAUUAAAAUUUUACCGAUUCUUCAAAGGCUCAGCUCAAAUGCAUAUCCUCCAUAAGGCUGUCCCCCAGAGUCAUGUUUAAAAGUCAUAAUUUUAGGGGCACCUGGGUGGCUCAGUCGGUUAAGGUCUGACUUCAGCUCAGGUCAUGAUCUCACAGUUUGUGGGUUUGAGCCCCGUGUCGGGCUAUGUGCUGACAGCUUAGAGCCUGGAGUCUGCUUCAGAUUCUGUCUCCCUCUCUCUCUGCCCCUGUCCCACUCAUGCUCUGUCUCUCUCUCUCUCUUUCUCAAAAAUAAACAUUAAAAUUUUUAAAAAAUAAAUCAAAGUAAUAAUUUUCUAUGAAAAAAAGUAUUGAUUUUCUUCCAUUUGUGACAGCUUGGAUGAAACUUGAGGGUGUUAUGUUAAAUGAAAAAAAUCAGAAAGAUAAACAUUAUAUGAUAUCCCUUAUAUGUGGAAUCUAAAAAAGAGCUGAACUCGAGCAACAGAGUAGAGGUUACCCAAGCUGGGAGGGAGGAGGAUAUAAGGAGAUAUUGGUCAAAGGAUACAAACUUCCAGUUAUAAGAUUGACAAGUUCUGGGGAUUCUAAUGUAUAGUAUGGUGAUGAUAGCUAAUAAUCCUGUAUUAUAUACUUGAAAGUUGCUAAGAGAAUAAAUCUUAAAUGUUCUUACUACAAAAAAGAAAUGGUAAUUAUGUGACAAUAUGGAGGUGUUAGCUCAUUAUUUAUUUAUUUAUUUGUUUAUUUAUUUAUUUAUUUAUUAUUUAUACCAUGUUAUAUGUUAUACCAUUUUAUAUGUCAAUUUUAUCUCAUCAAGCUGGAAAAAAGAAAAAAGAUUAUUAGCAAAAAAAAGUAAUACUUUGUGUGUUUUCAUAGCAUUUUUUAUCUCUUUUAUACCACUUAGCUCAUUUACCUUGACAUAUUCAUUAUUUGCCUUAUCUCCCCUGCUAGUUACAAAUUCUUUGAGGCAUGAACACCAUUGUUCAUUUGUAUUCACCAAACACAAGAUAACACAGUAAUGCUCAAUAAAUCUUUGUUAAAUUCUGAGUAGGUCUUUUCAUUAAAAAAAUGUAAUUGAAGAUUGGGGCACCUGGGUGGUACAGUCGGUUAAGUGUUCGACUCUUGGUUUUGGCUCAGGUCAUGAUCUCACAGAUUGUGAAUUCAAGCCCCACAUCAUGCUCUGUGCUGACAUGUGGAGCCUGCUUGGGGUUCUCUCUCUCUCUCUCUCUCUCUCUCUCUCUGCCCCUCCGGCUUGAGCUCUCUCUCUCAAAAUAAAUAAAGUUAAAGAAUGUAAUUGAAGAAAUAUCAAGUUUUCUACUAACUAGAUGGGAGGAAUCCUUUCAUAAUGUAUAUGUAUAUUAAAUCAUUGCAAUAUAUACUCAAAAUACUUUACAAUUAAUAAUUUCCCAAAAAAAGCUUAAAAUUUUCUAGAAGGAAUAUCAAAUUUUUUAAUAUGAAAAUACUGAAGAUUGAAUCAAUUUAAGAUUGGUAACUUUUUAGGAACUCUCACAAUAGCUAUCUUAAGUAUAGGUAUACAAUCUGAAUCACAAUGAAUUAACUAGUGGGUAUUCUAGAGGUAUGAUUUCUUUUUUUUAAGAACAAUAUUGCCACCUAAUGGAGAAAUAGAUUUUGGACUUUUCAAAAGGGACAUGGGCCAGGAAGACUUAAAAUUCAGGCAAAAGGUACUGGUUUGUGGGAAAAAAUAAGGUGGUUCUCUGGAAUCCAAAAUAUGGAAGAUUUACGGCAGGUGUAGAGGCCCGUGAACUUAAAAUGAGGGGAGUAUAUAGAUAAAGGAAGAAAAUUAAUUAUACUGUGUAUAUGGAAUUCACUAUACAAAUGAAAAGAGGCUAGUUAAACUUAGAUUAUCAAAAAAUAUUCAAAGCAUAAAUUUUAAAGAAAAAAAUGAUUUCUAUCUAUGUAAUUAACAGAAGGAGCAUACAUUGGUAGGUUGCAGUUAUGUUAAAAUAAUUUGUUUUAGUCUAUCUUCUUUUGACAGUGGUAAUACCCAUUGCAGCAAAUUUAGCUGAUAAAAAAGAAGAAAAUUAAAAGCCCUCUCCUCACAGUUAUACUACCUAGAGAUAACCAUUAAAUAUUUUGGUCUAUUUUCUUUCUCUUUUUCUUCCUCUAUGUAGAGACGUUUAAAAAUACAUGGCAUUUUAGAGGGCGCCUGGGAGGCUCAGAUUGUUAAGCAUCCGACUCUUGAUUUCAGCUCAAGUCAUGAUCCUGGGGUUGUAGGAUCGAACCCCGUGUCCGACUCCAUGCUGAGCAUGGAGCCUACUUAAGAUUCUGUCUUUCUCCUUCUGCCUUUCUCCCCCAUCUGCCUUUCUCUCCCUCUCUUCUGCCUUUCUUUCCCUAUGCUCCCCCUCUUCUCUUUCUCUCUCUCUCUCUCUCUCUCUCAAAUAAAUAAAUAAAUAAAUAAAAGCCAUCUUUCAAAUAUAUAUAUAUAUAUAUGCUAUUUUUUAAAAAAUGAGGUUAUUAUGUACAAACUGUUACCCUGACUUUUUCACUUUUAUUGUGAACAUUUUUCAAUGCCAUUACAUAUUUUUCUUUUUUCUUUUUUUUUAAAAAGGUACUGUUUUUUAAAGUUUAUAUUUAUUUUGAGAGAGAGAGAGACAGAGAGACAGAGAGAGAGGGAGAGAGAAUCCCAAGGAGACUCCAUGCUGUCAGCGCAGAGCCAGAUGGGGGGCUCAGUCCCACAAGCUGUGAGAUCAUGACCUGAGCCGAAACCAAGAGUCAGACACUUAACUGAGUGAGCCACCCAGGUACCCCUCAAUGCCAUUACAUAUUUUUCCAUAAAAUCUUUUGACUAGUCGAGGCAUAUGUAUCAUGAUUUAUUAGGUAAGAUGUAUCAUGGGUAGAUGUAUCAUGAUUUAUUAAUUAGUCCCUCAUUGUUAGACAUCUGAACUUUUUUCUAAUUUUCCACUAUUAUAAACUGAUGAACACCUAGGUAACAAAAUGUUUUUCUACAUCUGUAAUUAGUAUUUAGGAUAACUUCUCUGAGGUGGAAUUUGUAGGUUAAAGAACAUAAACUUUUAAAGGUUUUUGAUAGGGGCCACCUGGGUGGCUCAGUCAGUUAAACAUCUGAUUCUUGAGUUUGGACCAAGGUGGACCCUGUGUCUGCCCUGGGUCAGGCUUCGUGCUGAGCAGAGCCUGCUUGGGAUUCUCUCUCUCACUUCUCUCUCUCCCUCCCUUGCUCAUGUGCUCAUGUUUGCUCUCUCUCUCUCUCUCAAAAAAAAAAAACAACUUAAAAAAGAUUAAAAAAAAUUUUUUUUGAGAGAGAGAGAGAGAGAGAGACAGAGAGAGAGCAAAGCAGGGGAGGAUCAGAGAGAGAGGGGGACAGUGGAUCCAAAGUGGGCUCUGUGCUGACAGCAGUCAGCCUGAUGCAGGGCUCAAACUCAAGAAUCACAAGAUCAUGACCUGAGCUGGUCAGUCGCUUAAACAACUGAGCCACCCAGGCACCCCAAAAAGAACAGUUUUUGGUAGGCAUUACCUAAUUAUCUUUAGAAACAUUUGUUAAUUUAUGGAUUUUGAAAGGUCCAUCUUCCCACACACUAAGAUGAUAGACAUUUCCAUAAACUUAAUGUACACUGACAUUAAUUUUCAGUCUUUAAUGAUAUCAGAAGCCAUUUUUAAAAAAAAUGUAUGAAAAAUACAGAGAGAAAGAAUAUCUGAAUGAGAUCAUAUAAAAUGGAGAUUUAGUACACUUGGGACAGAGAUCACAGGAUAAUUAUUAAGUAUAAGGGAGGACAAUAGUAGAUAUAAUAACUAGCUGGUAUAUUAAAUGGUUACUAUUCUAGCUAGGUACUUUACAUGUAUCGUUUGUUAUUUAAUCCUGGCCACACCCUAUGAGCUAGUUACUAUUAUUAUUCUCUUCUUAUUCCUGGAAACCUGAGACUUAGAGAAGUGAUUUGCCCAGAGUCAAACAGUUGUCUCAUGGGACACUCUACUGCCUUUUUUAUGGAUUAGAUGGAGUAUGCUUAUUUCAGCCUGACUGAUUGCCAGUAAAUGUAGACUACAAUAUAGCUUUAAAUUAGCUUACUUUUCUUUGCCUAGAAGAGUUUUAUGUCCUUUUUAUUCCAUGUAUACAUGUUUUUAGGACAGAAGGAUCCAUCUAUGAGAAUCAUAGGGAGAUGUAUUUUAGAUUAAUACUAGGGAGAAUUUUCUAAAAAUGGGAACUAUGAAAGGCUAGUCUAAUGAAUUAAUGACAUUUGAAUUUGUGAUACUUCUGUCUCUAGAUAUUUUUCUCAUAGAAAGAAUCCUAUAUUAAGUGGGAGAUUGUCUGGUGUGACUUUUAAGGUCCCUUUCAAUUCUAAAAUAUUGUGCUUUUAAAGUGUAAUCUCUACACCCAACGUGGGACCUGAACUCCUGAGAUCAAGAGUCACACACUCCUCCAACUGAGCCAGCCAGGUGCCCCAAUUCUAAAAUAUUAUGAUUCUAUGAGUCUACAUGUUUAAAUGAAGAUAUUUGGCAAAUAUGAUUAUGAGAACAACUUGUCUGUUCUGGGAACUGUUGUUCAUGAAUAACUUUUUAGAAACUCAAUACUGAUCUUUAAGUCUAUAGACGAUUGGUGGGAAAUAUGGUACUCACGGGUAGGGACAUGGAAUUUUCCUGUGUGUUCAGGAUUAAGAAAUAAUGUAUAACAGAAAAUGUUUUUUUAUUGAGAAUUUUCCAGGAAUGUGCCUCAGUCACCCUCAUUUCCUAUUGAUCUUUUUUUUUCUUUUGUUAUUGUAAUUAUAGCUCAAGGAGAAUUUAAGGAACAUGGAGCGGAAACAUCAGGAGACUCUUAGAAGAUUGGAGGGCAAGUUUUUUGAAGAAAAGGUACAACACUUUAGUGUUAAUUAAGAAAUAUUUUGUUUUUAAAAAGAAGAAAUAUUUUUACUAAAACAUUAUAAGUAUCUAUAUGCACUCUGAGACAUGUCAACCUUUCUUUUGGUAUCUUAUUAGAGGAUUGUUUAUCAAAUGACAGCAGAUAAAAAAAAUAGGGAAAAUGAAACCUGUUCUAGAUAUCUCAGUGUCUAGUCAGUUAAAGAUUCUUGAAAUCCUAAAGAGGGAUUGUUAUCUUACCGAAGCUUCAGGACACAGUCCCUUCAGCUUGGUGUUCCCCUAGUGGAAGGAAAGCUGCAUGUAGCACAUUAUAUAGGGGGAUGAGAUGGGAGAGGUCAUUCUGGUACACAUGAAGGUGUUUCCUUAGUCAAGCCAAGCUAAGCUAAGGGUGUUAAUAAAAAGGGGGCUCAAAAAUGUUCCUUAGCAUAUUACAAACUUGUACAUUUCUCUGUGCCUCUGACAUUAAUUCUCCAAAUUGUGGGAAGUGCAUUGGAACACUUCUUUGCGAGCUUUUCAGAGGACCCAUGGUUUUUCUUUAAGUCUUCUAAACUUUCCUUUAACUGUUCAUUCUUAGGGAAGAAUUGAACAGAUUUCUUUCAGAAACUGUAGGGAUGUAGGAAGUUGAGGGUGGGGCAAAUAAGUACUCAUAUCAGGUUUAGAUAAAAAAUUUGCCGUAAAAAGUGGCUCUAGAUUUCCCAUUUCUGUAUUAAAUAACCUAGGAAUGGGGCAGGAGCAGCAUCUUGGUGCUUUCCUUCUCAGGCACUUCCUGGCACUGUUAGGAGUGGAAGUCCUCAGGAAUGGGCUGCUCUCACUUGCGUUUUUCCCUCUAUCCCACCCCCUAAGCUUGUUUGUUCUCUUCUCUGCUAAGUGCAGCAUUUCCACAAACAAAGGUUAGGAGCGCUUCGUCAGAUUGCAGCAUACAUGUCUGACAGUGCCUAUAUAAAUAGGAUUUUUAUGUCUGGAAGUAGGUGGCUGCUGGCCUUUCCCUCAUAGUUGCAAGAUGGUUAAUGCAGCUCUAAGAUUUGUCUGUGUUUAAGGCAGGAAGAAGGGAAAGCUUUCCCAGAAGCUCUUAGCAGAUUUUGUCUUACAUCUAUCUCAUUGGUCAGAGCCAUGUUAUAUGGGAUGCUGGGAAAGUAAGUGUUUUUUUCCAGACACUAGUGAAAGCUGGAAAGGGAGGAUGGGAAUGAGUAUUGGGAUGGCCAGCCACAGCAGUAGCUGUCUCACUAUGUUCGGUGUAAACUUCAUGGUUAGGUACGAACUCCUGUGCUGGUUUGAACCCCAGUGCUGCUGGUUUAUGGCAGAGGGCUUUCCGGUAAGCCCUGUUUAUUCGUCUCUUACUAUAGUAUGCUCCACCUGGUCAUAUAAAGGACAUCCCUCAGGUUAUAGGUGUUUUGUUUCCCUAUUUAAUCCUUUCUGUUCCUUGAACCACCAAGCCCUUUCCCAAUGACAUAUUUUUGUACUUGGUGUUCCUUUCUGGAAUGUUCUUCCUCCAGCUCUGGCUCUUCUCAUUCUUAGGAGCUCAAAUGUCAUUUCCUCAGAAAUCGAUUCCUUAAACCCCAAUCUAACAUAAUCUCCCCCAGUUACUAUCUAUCUCAUUACUCCAUUUAUUACAUUCACAGCAUUCAUCACAGUUUAAUUCUCUCAUUUGUUUGCUUGUUAGGGAGCAAACAAGCAUCACAUUGCCUGCAUAUGAAUCUCUGCUCUGCCACUUACCAGCUAUCUGACAUUGGGCAAGUCACUAACCUCUCUUUCCCUGUUUCCUCAGUCCUUGUUUUUGGUGAUAAUAAUAGUGUCUAAUUUUGAGGGUUGUUGUGAUAGGUAAAUAAUACACAUAAAGCUCUUAGAACCAUGCCUGGCACGUGGUAAAAGCUCAGUGCACUUUAAUUAUUAUCGUUGUUUGGAUCUCACCUAGAAUACAAGGUCUGUCAGAACAGGGACCUUAUCUGUUUUUUUCACCACAGAAUCUCCAGCAUCUAAAAAAUCUGAUACAAUACUAAUGCUCAAUAGGGAUUUGUUGUAUAAAUAAAUGACUCUAACCACAUUGUAUUUAGCAGAAAUUUAUCCAAGCUCCACUUUCCAAUAUUGAUGUGGACUUUUUUUUUCUAUUUAUGUGUCAUAUUGCUUCUUUUUUUUUUUUUUCCAACGUUUAUUUAUUUUUGGGACAGAGAGAGACAGAGCAUGAACGGGGGAGGGGCAGAGAGAGAGGGAGACACAGAAUUGGAACCAGGCUCCGGGCUCUGAGCCAUCAGCCCAGAGCCCGACGCGGGGCUCAAACUCACGGACCGUGAGAUCGUGACCUGGCCAAAGUCGGACGCUUAACCGACUGCGCCACCCAGGCGCCCCGCAUAUUGCUUCUUUAAUGGGGAGAUCAGAUGGUACCCUGAGGUUGCUGUGUUCACACUAUCCUCUUUGCUAGCUAUUCCACCAGUACUUGGAGUUCUUCACACUAGGUCAUGUGGACAGGAGUAUUUUGUUUGACAUUAUAAAAUAAAUACUUCACUUUUCGAUGUGUAAAUUUGUUAGAAAUAUAACUCUAUUAAAAUAGCCUACAGGCACCUGGGUGGCUCAGUUCGUUAAGCAUCUGACUCUUGAUUUCGGCUUAGGUCAUGAUCUCACAGUUAGUGAGAUUGAGCCCCUUGUUGGGCUCUGCCCUGACAGCUGAAGGCCUGUCCUUUCUCUCUCUUGCUGCCACCACCCCCAAAAUAAAUAAAUAAACUUAAAAAAAAAAAGUCUGUUUUCUUUUUUAGCAUCGACUAGAACAAGAGGCUGAAAAGAAGAUAAUAAUGUUGGCAGAGAGAGCUCACCAUGAAGCUAUCGCGUAAGAGACUGCUGCCUCCUUUUUCUUUUUCAUAGCUUCUCUUAUCUCUUUGCUGGUCUGUUUUGUUCUCAUCAUAUUGUCUUCUCCCUUCUCUCUUGGUUUCCUUUCUUCAAAUUUUCUUGUUUACUUUCCCUCGUUAUUUCUUUCUCUUUGUGUCCCUGCCCCCUUUUCACCCACCCUUUCUGCAGCAAGGUGGUGUGGAGGAAAUAACCCUGGCUUUGAAGUUAGACUUUGGUUCUCAACAUGUAUACCGACAUGACUGACUGUUGGAAAAUUUCCUAACCUUUUUGAAAUUAAAUUUCUUCAUCUAAAAACGGGUUAAUCAUAGCAACUGUAUAAAGUUGUCAUGAGGUAUGUUAGUGAAAAUAACAUUUAAUUGUGUUAGUAAAUUCCGAAGUCUCAAUGGUUUAGUUCUUGCUCGCUUAACAAUCCAGUAUAAGUCUGAUAGCUCUACUUGAGUGGUGAUUCGGGAACUGGGGCUGCUUCUAUCUUGGACUUCUUCCAUCCAGUCAUAUGGACAGGAGAGAGCAUGGGAAACCUGUCUGCUCCUAACUGCCUUGGACUGGAAGUAACACGUAACUUUUCACUUUCCAUUGGUGAAAACUUAGUCACAUCCCCACCUCUUUUGAGUCCCUACCAUAAACUAAAUACGUCGUGGUCAUUAUUUUUAAUGUUGGGGGAUAAGGCAGUCAUUGUUCUAGUUUGGUAAUAUCUAAAACUUAACACCUGUGUUUUGGGAUCAUAUAUCUAUCUAUUUCAGGCAACUGAACCAUGCUGGAAGAGCCGUUUUUAAAGAGAAUGUUUAUCUCCAGAAAGCCCUCGCAUACCACCUGAAGGAAGCUGAUGCUCUACAAAAAAACUCCCAGAAGUUGCAAGAGACUCAAACUUUCCUUUUACAUCAGAAGGUUCCCACUCCAUUUGGACUUUCUGGUUUUUUUGUUUGUUUGUUCGUUCGUUUAUUUAAGGAUUGGGUUGGUAAAUAUGAAGAAUUGAGUAUAAUAAUGAUACAUGAGGACUUUGGGACCAUUUUUAUUUUGUCUGGAUGAUGUACCUUUCUUAUUUGAAAGGAUUAAUUAUGCGAAUGACAUAAGAAGUAUUUGACUUGGGAUGCCUCAGUGGCUCAGUCAGUUAAAAAGUCCAGCUCCUGAUUUCGGCUCAGGUCAUGAUCUCACAGUUUGUGGGUUCAAGCCCCACAUCAGGCUCUGUGCUGAUAGCACGGAGCCUGCUUGGGAUUCUCUGCCUCCCUCCCUCUCUCUCUCUGCCCCUCCCUGAGCAUGUGCUCUCUCUCUAUCUCUCUCAAAAAUAAAUAAAUAAAUAAACAUAAAAAAAGAAGUAUUUGACUUGGCUUUAUAAAGAAUAUAUCAGAAACAUAAAUGUAAAUCCUAUCCUCGACUACCUUAGAAUACUCAUUUUACUUUGCUUAGAGUUGGUCUCUGAAUUACUGGUUCGGAAUAGGUUCAGCUGUAACAGCCCCGACAACAGUGGCUUUACCAUGUAAGGGUUUAUUCUCUCCUCUAAAUGAAGUCUGGAGGUUAGCAAUCCAGAGCUGGAAGGGUAGUGCCACAAAGUCAACAGAGACUCAGUUUCCUUAACUCUGCUGGGCAACGUAUGGCUUACAUCCCCAGUUACUUCAUGGCCCAAAGCAGUUGCUAGAUCUCUAACCAUUACCCAGAAAGCAGGAAGGAAGAAGGACAGGAAGGAAAAAUUAUGCCCCCCCUCCCCUUUAGAAGUCUUCCUGGAAGUCCUGCAAACACUUCUACUUACAUUUCAUUGACCAGAACUUAGUUACAUAGCUUUGCUGAACUGCAAGGGAGACUGCGAAUUUUCAAUUGGGCUUCCUGCCUUCCUGAAAAAAAAAAAAAAAAAUGGAGUUUUAUUACUAAGGAGGAAAGGGAAAAUGGAAAAGGGAUAGGCCACUAGCCUAUAGGCUAGGAUAGGAAACAUUUUCCAGUAUAUAGUUGUUAAUGUUUUACUGUAUAAUCUUACUGAUUUUGAAAUUACCCAUUUCAAUAAUAUAAAAUAUUUAAACUAUUGGAAUUUUAGAGAAAGGAAAGUUUCUUAAUCAGCAAAAUUAGUGGCCUUCACAAGUCCAGAGAAGAACCCUGAGAUGUUUUUUCUCUCGGUACACAGAAUACCAAAUAUCAUCAUCUCAACUUGGUAUCAAAUUUAAGCUAAUGAUGUAAUGGAAAUUAGUGAGGAACUUUUAAGUUUUGAAAUUGAUUAAAGAAAAUCAACUCUCUCAUCUUUGUUUUUAGGAAAUCAAUGAUCUGUUGGUUAAGGAAAAGAUAAUGCAGUUUACCCAGCAGAGAUUACAAAUCCAAACUCUUCAGAAAAAGGUGGUAAGCUUGGAGACUGCCCUGAGUUGUAUGACCAGAGAGUUUGAGGCUGAAGUUCUAAAAAUGCAGCAACAGGCAAUGAUAGAGAACCAAGCAGGUCAGGUUGAAAUUGACAAGCUGCAACAUCUUCUCCAGAUGAAGGACAGGGAAAUGAAUCGAGUGAAGAAGCUGGCCAAGAACAUACUGGAUGAGAGAACAGAAGUGGAAAGUUUCUUUUUAGAUGCUCUGCACCAAGUGAAGCAACAGAUCCUACUUGGCAGGAAGCAUUACAAAAAGGUAGCACAAGCUGCUUUCAAUUUUAAAAUGAGAGAGGCAUGUGCAGGAAGAACAGAAUAUCCCCAGAUCCGAACGUUCGAUGGCAAAGAGCACAGCACCAAUAGCGUAACUCAAGAUCUUAUGGAGGCUGAGAAAUGGUACUAAUCAUGGCUUUAAUAUUUUAUCCUUUGUGCAGCUAUUUUUGUGCCCUUUAGAGAAAUAAGCACUCUGAGGAGUUCAGUUACAUUAUAUCUAACUAUUGAAUAGAUUACUCACUAAGUUACUCGAAGAUAGGAACUGUCUUACCUGUCUUUAUAACCCCUGUGCUUAGCACUGUGUGUGGGGCUUAGUAGGUAUUCUUAGUAGAUUUCCUUUUUUCAAGACAGAGACUUAUUAAAGAGACUAGAUCAUUUGUUCCAUAGAAUGUCAUUGUAGUAUCUUUGAACAUGUUCCUUUAUUUUCUUUUCUGUAAAUUCAUUAUAAAGGUGUGAUCAGAUUCAGGUUAAACAUUUUUGAUAAGCUUACUUUCACAAAUAUUUUGUAACAUUCCUUUUACUGAGAUGAAAUUCAUAGAUAAUAUCUAACUAAACAUAUAAUUUAAGAAAUCAAUAUAACAGUUCUUUGUAAUAAUUCUUUGUUGCACAGAACUGUUCUAUGAGUUGGAGGACAUCCAGGAGUGGGACCCCAUCAUUGUACUAACCAAAAGUCCUUGCAAGUUUCCAAAAUACAUGCUACAGAUCUACUGCCACCAUAAUAAAGGUAGCAGGAUGCUUGAGACAGUUGUAGACUUUAUACAAUGACUGUUCCCUGUUAGCAUUUCUGUCUGUCAGUGCACUCUUAACUCCUAUGAACCAUAAAUUAGAGUGCAUUUUAAAGAUUAUUCUGAAAAAAAAAAAGUUUUAUCUCCCAGUGCAAUUAGGUUCUUCAAAGGCCUUAGCUUGAGAAACUUAAAAGGACUCCCUACUACUAUGUACUGAACACCUUAUUAACAGUGCUUCCAAAUGUGUUUUCUGAUUUAUUUUUUAAUGGAUUAAUUAGUAGGUUCUUUUAAACUAUGUAUCUGUUGGGAAGGUUGGACAUGGUCAGUGGCUUUUGAAAGAUAAGACUGUUUUCUUCAAAAUGUCCAUACCAUAAUGUUUUAAAACCUUUUUGCCAUAUUUAGAAGUCUAUUACUUGUAUUACCAGUAAUUUCUUUGUAUUUUCCUCUUUUUAAAAAAAUUUUAUUUGAGGGGCACCUGGGUGGCUCAGUCGGUUGAGCGUCCGACUUCAGCUCAGGUCAUGAUCUCACAGUCUAUGAGUUCGAGCCCCGCAUGGGGCUCUGUGCUGAUGGCUCAGAGCUUGGAGCCUGCUUCGGAUUCUGUGUUUCCCUCUCUCUCUGCCCCUCCCCUGCUCAUGCUCUGUCUCUCUCUGUCUCAAAAAUAAAUAAAAACAUUAAGAAAAAAAAUUAAAAAAAUUUUAUUUGAGAGAGAGAGAGAGCAUGCGAGUGGGGGAGAGGGAGAGAAAGAGAGAGAGAGAGAGAGAGAGAAAGAGAGAGAGAAUCUUAAGCAAGCUCACGCUUAGCACAGAGCCUGAUGUGGGGCUUGAUCACACGACCCUGGGAUCAUGACCUGAACUGAAAUCAAGAGCUGGAUGCUCAACCAACUGAACCACCCCGGUGCCCUGUCCUCUUUUUAAUUUAAAUUUAAUGUUUUUUUUUAACGUUUAUUUAUUUUUGGGACAGAGAGAGACAGAGCAUGAACGGGGGAGGGGCAGAGAGAGAGGGAGGCACAGAAUCGGAAGCAGGCUCCAGGCUCUAAGCCAUCAGCCCAGAGCCUGACGCGGGGCUCGAACUCACGGAGUGUGAGAUCGUGACCUGAGCUGAAGUCGGACGCUUAACCGACUGAGCCACCCAGGCGCCCCAUGUCCUUUUUUUAAUUUAAUACGUCAAGCAAGUUGAGUCCCUAGCAUACAUAUGCCAGUCUAUUUUACAUUUUUUUGUCUGCAAAGUGGUAUUUCAGAGAGAGGUAUAUAAAAUGAUUCUCCACAUUGUUAUUGCAGAAACUGGACUCUUCCUCUUCUGCCCUGUGUGACAUUUUUGCUACUGAACAACUUCUCACCUUAACCUCAGUGUUCUAUUGCCUGUACCAGCAGGGCAGAAAUGGUGAUUAAAAUAUUACAUCAUCUGCUUAAGAGGCAGAUUGGGGAAGGACAAUUUAAGUAUAGGGUGAUCAUAAGGCAAAACCUAAACUUUUAAAGAAAACUAACCCAACUGAUGUAUAUGCAAAAACAUUUCUUACAUUGUGAAACACAGUACUCUCUACAGUGUCAGCCAGCUUUCAUAAAUAGUAAAUAGACUACAAAUCUUCUGGGAAAGUUAUAGUAUAGCCAAAGACCUGCCUGGAAAGCUUAGCUGCAGCCUUAUUUGGAAGUAGGUAAAUAGACUAGAUAAGUUACGUGUUAUUUUCCAAACGUACCUCUUGUCACUCUGUUUUCAUAGCAAAAUAUCUUAUACAAAAAGAAAUGUUAAAAGGAAUUUAUCAAUAAUCUCACCUUGUAAACAACCAGUUUUUGUUGUAUUGUUCCUUUUCUUUUUGUAUCUGGAUGCAUAAUGUUAUAUUACAACUUUUUGCCCUUUUGCUUAAUGUUUGAGCACACAUUUUUUUGUGUUAUAGUUUUUCUUAUUUUUAUCGUAAAGACUACAUAGCAUUUCAGAAUGGCUAGCAUAUUGAUAUCCUCUUCAACUUCAUGAUUUUGUAAUGGACACAGUUUGCUUUGUAGUCAUUAUAUUUGGAAACCUCAUAAUAGUUAUGGUUUGGAAAUUUUCUUUUCUCAUAUUUACAUAUUUUAAAUUUUGAAAAGGAGAGAUGCUUACUUUGGCCAUUUUGCCUUUGAAAUUCUUCAGGACGGAUAUUCAAGGAAAUGUGGAUAUUGAAGAUUUGACCUGGGAGCAAAAGGAGAAAGUCUUGCGAUUGCUCUUUGCAAAAAUGAAUGGUUUUGUUUCCAGGUAACUCCUGUUUCUGUAGUGAAAUACCAAGGUGUUACCAAACCUAGAAACCAUAUAGGAAGAAUGAACUUAUUCUCACUUAGAAUUAAAGGAAUGGGAAAGGAUCAGAAAAUGGAAAAGGGUCAUGCCGCUUAGCACCUGUCACUCCCAGAGAUGAAUGAUGGGAGAUGAAUGAAUGAGCACAGAAAUGAAAGAUUUAUUAAAGGGGGGAGAAAAGAGACUGAUCUUAGAUGUUUAAGGUAAUGCUUGCUAGGAAGGUACAGCAUUGUUCAGCUGAAUGAGUGGUCACUGAAGAGAAGCAAAAUAAUUAUUUUUUUUUUAAUUUUUUUUUUCAACGUUUAUUUAUUUUUGGGACAGAGAGAGACAGAGCAUGAACAGGGGAGGGGCAGAGAGAGAGGGAGACACAGAAUCGGAAACAGGCUCCAGGCUCUGAGCCAUCAGCCCAGAGCCUGACACGGGGCUCGAACUCACGGACCGCGAGAUCGUGACCUGGCUGAAGUCGGACGCCUAACCGACUGCGCCACCCAGGCGCCCCGAGAAGCAAAAUAAUUAUUAAGAUUUUAUUGGUAAAAAAAGAUUUUAUUGGUUUGCAAAAACAAGUAAGUGAUUUUUAAGCUGAUUAUUGAUUUAGAGACUCUGUAAUACCAAGAUAAAGACCUAGAGAGGAAAACAGAAAUUCACAGAUACUCCAAAUCAUUCUUUUUAAUGAUUCGUUUCACUCUCUUUCUCCACUAUGCUUUAUCAAUGACUACAACACUGGUACUGAACUAUAAAGUGGCUAAAAUAAAUCAACCUCUUAUUAAUUGCUUGUUACAUGUUUGGUACUGUGUUAGGUACUGUGAACAUUUGCAGGAAUUAAGAGGCAUUGCCUUUGAUUACAGUUUCUAAUCUAGUUGCCCAAACAAAACCAAACAUAGCAAAGAAAAAAAUCAGGUGGCACAAUAAAGUAUCACUGGAGUUCAGACAACAUGUCAGUGUCCUACAGCAGUUAGGGAAGACUUCAGUGAAGAAGACUGAAAGAGUGUGAUGCUGCCGGGGGUGCCUUGUAGGAGAGUGGAAUAGUAGACAGAGUGGGAAGGGUACAUCAGGCAGGGGGCUUUGUAGACAGCCUAUGCAGAAGCCCAGAGGUAGGAAUAGAGGUGGGGUGUUUGAGGAACAUUGAGGAAAACUUCAUGGCUUGAGGAAAACUGGUGGCAAUGAGAGUAAUUAGUAAUUAGAAAUAACGUUGGGGCGCCUGGGUGGUUCAGUCAGUUAAACAUCUGACUUUGGCUCAGUUCAUGAUCUCACAGUUCAUGGGUUUGAGCCCUACAUCUGGCUCUGUGCUGACAGCUCAGAGCCUGGAGCCUGCUUCGGAUUCUGUGUCUUCCUCUCUCUCUGCCCCUCCCCCGCUCGUGCUGUCUGUCUCUCUCUCAAAUAAAAAUAAACAUUAAAAAACAAAUUAAAAAAGAAGAAACAAGGUUGGAUCUAUAGAUUAAAUUAUGAUGAGCCUUAAAAACCAUGCUGAAAAACCUUAACGUGUGCGACUGUUAUUCUAAAGUAGUAUAACAUACUUUCCUUUUCUGCCUUGAAGGAAUACGAGAGCGAUAAGCCCUACUCUCAUACUGUCUCACUGAAAGGGUUCAUAAGCCACUGUUCCCAGAGCUGACUUUAACCUAAUGCAGUGACACAUAUACAUAGGAUGGACUGCAGGACAAAAGUAGAGUUGGGAACCAGCAGAAGCUGCCGUGUUACUCUGGACGUGCGGCAGUGGAGGGUGUGGGCAGGAGUGGAAAAGGGGAGAAACUGAGGCACUUAGGAAGGAGAGACAGGACUUAGUGAUAAAAGGCAAAAGAAAUCAAGAAAACAAAAUGUAAAUGUUUAAGGUGUUUAGCUUAGAAGUGCACGGCUGGUGGUAUGAAAGGCAAGUGAAAAACCUGGAAAGCCAAUGUGAAGGAAAUGUUUACAUUUUAUUUAAUCCAUCCAUUAAUUCAUGUAGCAUAUACAUAUUGAGCGCCUACUAUUUACUGAGGAUAUAGUGUUGAGCAAAUAAAGACAUCAUUCCUAAUCUCAGGGAGUUCAUCGUCUAUGUGGGAAGAAAACAUUAUUCAAAUCAUCACACAAAUAUUAAAGGACAACUAUGAGAUUGGCUCAAAGAAGUGGCAUACAGUGGUAAGAGAGGCUAGAUUAAGGGACUAUGACCCAACUGAGGAGGUCAGGAAAGUUUAUGAGGAAAUAAAAGCUUGAGCUGACCUCUGAAAGGUAUACAGGAAGAGAAGGUAGAGGAAAAAACAUUCUGGGCAGAAGAAAUAGCAAGGAGUGUUUUCGAUGUUGAACUGGAGAUGAUGGCAGUAUAUUGAAACGAAAAAUACUCUUUGAUUCAAGUACAGGUGUUUAGAGACGGAGAUUUGAGCAUAUUUAGUGAAAAUUGGUAGUUGAGUGUAGGAGGUUGUAUGAAGGUAGAAGGGUAAAGGGCCGAGGCUAGAAAUAACCACAGCAGUGAAUAGGAGAACAAGGAAGAGGAUAGCCAAAAGAGAAGAGUUUAAAGAAUUUUAGGCUAAGUGGAAGAUGGAAGACUUUGAAAUAGUCUUUUGUCUCUGGGAGCCUUCCAAAGAGUCUUAUUUUAUUUUAUUUUUUUUUUUAUUUAGAGGGGGAGGUAGAAUCCAGACUAUAGCUACAGAAUGUCUGUCUCAUUGUGAGUUGACUUUUCUGUACUCCAAGAAACAACCAGAGUUCUAGGUCUCAAGUUCCAUACUAUGUUGUUUUCAAUACUGCAGAAACAAAGAAAUGUGAAUGAAAUCUUCACACCAAAGCAAUGAAGUUAAAUCUAGCUGCAAUGAAUGCUGUCUAAGCCUGUUGGAAUCUCAUAUCAGAGCUGGUUGAAGGGAAAAGAAGAUGGGAAUUGAAUAGUGAAAUGUGUGGUGAAGAUGAGAUUAAAUGAGAAAGCUCAAACCAGACUGGGGAGAGAUUAGAUGAUAAAUGGUCUACCAGGGCAAGCAGAGCAGUUAGGAAGUUCAUUAAGAGUUCAAUUGAUUGUAUGAUUGUGAAUCUAACAGUAUGCUAUUUUUGUGAUUGAACAAAGUCAAGGAGUAUAACAAAUAAACUGCACUCUUUAGUGCACCAGCAACCACACUGGCUAUAACUCAGGUACUAGUAGUAUCCAAAGUACAUUUUUAAAAAUUAAAUGUUUAUUUAUUUUGAGAGUGAGAGAGACAGCGCAUGUGCAAGCACAUGAAUGCAGGCGAGGGGCAGAGAGGAGGGAGGGAGAGAAUCCCAAGCAGGCUCCACAUUUAGCAUGGAGCCUGAUGUGGGGCUCAGCCUCAUGACAGGAUCAUGACCUGAUACCAAGAGUCAGACGCUUAACCAACUGAACCACCUAGGAACCCCCAAAGUAUAUUUUUCUCAUGCAUAAUUAUUAGACUAUUUAAUACAGUCAUAUUUUGAAUGGUUUUAUUCUGCUUUCAUAUGUGCCAACUUGAGGACAAGUUUUAGAAUUGGAGCAUGUGUCCUUACCUGCUGGCAAAUCAACCUACUAUGCUUUUUUUUUUUUUUUUUUUAAGAUUUUAUUUUUAUGUAAUCUCUACACCUAAUGUGGAGCUCAAACCCACAACCCUGAGAUCAAGAGUCACAUGCUCUACCAAUUGAGCCAGACAGGCACCCCCCCACUGUACUUUUUAUAAUCCUGUUCAGCUCACUUGCCAUUAGAGUAUUCAAUCAGUGAUAUGAUUACUUCCUGUUCUUAAACCAAACUUUCCAAAGUAUGAGGAGAAAUUUUCAUACUGGGUCCAUCACCAUUGGAUAAUUGUCCAUCACAUUGGAUAAUUUUUCUAUGUUCUGAGGUUCUUUUUGUGGGAAGGGAAUUUCUCUGGCCAUGUUUUUGGUCAGUACUCUGGUUCAGUCUUAAGCAUCACCAUUAAUAGCUAUUGGAGGAAUAUCAUCAUCAUGAUUAUUAGUUAAGCAUUCGACUCUUGAUCUUGGUAUCGACUCAGGUCAUGAUCUCACAGUUGAUAGGAUUAAGCCCCGAGUCAGGCUUUGCACUCUCAGCGUGAAGCCUGCUUGGGAUUCUCUCUCCCUGCCCCUCCUCUUUUCACGCACAUGUGUGCAUGCUCUCUCUCAAAUAAAUACUUAAAAAAAAAAGCACAGUUGAAAUAUGGGACAAGAGGAGACACUGCCUCAUUGUUAACUUUUAUCUACCACAGAAAAUAUAGCCAGAGCUCUAGGCCUUCAGUUCCAGACUAUGUUGUUGCUGAUGAUGGAGAAACAAAGGAAUUUGGGUAAGAGCUGUCUUGACAAGGUAAUGAAUGUGAGCCUGAUCACAGUGGUUGUGGUGGACAUUUUCUAUGUGCCAGAACUGAGUGGGAGUUGUAGGACAAGUCUAUUGUUCUGAACCAAGUUCCAUGUAUAUGUGGUUGUUGACAGGUCUGUCAUUUUGUUGUCAUUGCAGGGAUGACAGUAAGCUUCAAGAUCAAACCUUCAUCACUCAGCAAGUACCAAUCUCAGACUCUUCUGGUGAACUGAUGAUACCCAAUAUUCAGAAAGAAUCACAAGAGUCUGACAUA